RNAcentral lists this ribosomal RNA (446 nucleotides) under uncultured bacterium. RNAcentral's name for it is "SSU rRNA". It matches the Rfam family "Bacterial small subunit ribosomal RNA", at positions 26 to 518 of the family's 1533-position model. The record is from RNAcentral.
AGAGCGAACGCUGGCGGCAGGCUUAACACAUGCAAGUCGAGCGGGCGUAGCAAUACGUCAGCGGCAGACGGGUGAGUAACGCGUGGGAACGUACCUUUUGGUUCGGAACAACACAGGGAAACUUGUGCUAAUACCGGAUAAGCCCUUACGGGGAAAGAUUUAUCGCCGAAAGAUCGGCCCGCGUCUGAUUAGCUAGUUGGUGAGGUAAUGGCUCACCAAGGCGACGAUCAGUAGCUGGUCUGAGAGGAUGAUCAGCCACAUUGGGACUGAGACACGGCCCAAACUCCUACGGGAGGCAGCAGUGGGGAUAUUGGACAAUGGGCGCAAGCCUGAUCCAGCCAUGCCGCGUGAGUGAUGAAGGCCCGUAGGGUUGUAAAGCUCUUUUGUGCGGGAAGAUAAUGACGGUACCGCAAGAAUAAGCCCGCUAACUUCGUGCCAGCAGCCGC